GUUUUUGUAGACUAUUUUUAAGUCGUGAAGCUGUUAACUUCAUUAAGCUUUUGGGCCAUGAACG
RNAcentral lists this transfer RNA (64 nucleotides) under Paradiplozoon opsariichthydis. RNAcentral's name for it is "tRNA-Asn". Lineage: Eukaryota; Metazoa; Platyhelminthes; Monogenea; Mazocraeidea; Diplozoidae. The record is from RNAcentral.